This 793-nucleotide ribosomal RNA is filed under the name uncultured bacterium. RNAcentral describes it as "bacterial SSU rRNA". It matches the Rfam family "Bacterial small subunit ribosomal RNA", at positions 8 to 782 of the family's 1533-position model. The record is from RNAcentral.
AGAGUUUGAUCAUGGCUCAUAGCGAACGCUGGCGGCGUGCUUAACACAUGCAAGUCGAGUGCGCAGUUCUCUGUAGCAAUACAGGGGAUGGGCGCACGGCGCACGGGUGCGUAACACGUGGGCAAUCUGCCCUCGGAUGGGGGAUAACUCGCCGAAAGGCGAGCUAAUACCGCAUGACAUUCCGAAGACUCCGGUCUUUGGACUCAAAGGCCGCAAGGCCGUCUGAGGAGGAGCCCGCGCCCGAUUAGCUAGUUGGUGAGGUAACGGCUCACCAAGGCUUUGAUCGGUAGCCGGUCUGAGAGGAUGGCCGGCCACACUGGAACUGANACACGGUCCAGACUCCUACGGGAGGCAGCAGUGGGGAAUAUUGCGCAAUGGGCGAAAGUUUGACGCANCGACGCCGCGUGGGUGAUGAAGGCCUUCGGGUUGUAAAGCCCUGUGGGGGAGAGANNAAUAAGUCGGAUCUAAUAACUCCGAUGAUGACGGUAUCUCCUUAGCAAGCACCGGCUAACUCUGUGCCAGCAGCCGCGGUAAGACAGAGGGUGCAAACGUUGUUCGGAAUUACUGGGCGUAAAGCGUGUGUAGGCGGCUACGCAAGUCGGAUGUGAAAUCCCCAGGCUCAACCCGGGAAGUGCACCCGAUACUGCGUGGCUUGAGUACCGGAGAGGUUGGUGGAAUUCUCGGUGUAGAGGUGAAAUUCGUAGAUAUCGAGAGGAACACCGGUGGCGAANGCGGCCAACUGGACGAGUACUGACGCUGAGACACGAAAGCGUGGGGAGCAAACAGGAUUAGA